RNAcentral lists this ribosomal RNA (253 nucleotides) under uncultured bacterium. RNAcentral describes it as "partial 16S ribosomal RNA". It matches the Rfam family "Bacterial small subunit ribosomal RNA", at positions 524 to 776 of the family's 1533-position model. The record is from RNAcentral.
UACGAAGGGUGCAAGCGUUACUCGGAAUUACUGGGCGUAAAGCGUGCGUAGGUGGUUCGUUAAGUCUGUCGUGAAAGCCCCGGGCUCAACCUGGGAAUGGCGAUGGAUACUGGCGGGCUAGAGUGCGGUAGAGGAGAGUGGAAUUCCUGGUGUAGCGGUGAAAUGCGCAGAUAUCAGGAAGAACACCCGUGGCGAAGGCGGCUCUCUGGGACGGUACUGACGCUGAGACGCGAAAGCGUGGGGAGCGAACAGG